This 7335-nucleotide long non-coding RNA is filed under the name Gossypium barbadense (sea-island cotton). RNAcentral's name for it is "long non-coding RNA (GBAR_LNC018318)". Lineage: Eukaryota; Viridiplantae; Streptophyta; Magnoliopsida; Malvales; Malvaceae. The record is from RNAcentral.
AAGACUCCCGUAGAGUUCGCUGUGAAAGACGAGCUUGAUUUGGCGUUAGAGGAAGCUUCGAUGCGGAACAAGACCGUCAUAAUAGCGGUCGUCAACAGGGCUUACGUCGAGCAAAGCGUUAAUGCGGAGACCACAAUGCUGGACCUUUUCUUGGAGAGCUUUUGGCUGGGGGAAGAUACGAGGCCAUUGCUGGACCACCUGCUCCUGGUUGCGGUGGAUAAGACGGCUUACGAUCGGUGCAUGUUCAAGCGAUUGCACUGUUACAGGUUGGUGACGGAGGGUGUGGAUUUCGGGGAGGAGAAGGUAUUCAUGUCCCGGGAUUUUAUCAAGAUGAUGUGGAGAAGAACUUUUUUCCUUACGGAAGUGUUGAGGCGUGGCUACAGUUUCAUUUUCACGGUAUGCUUCUUUCUUUGACCUUCUCUAAUAGUUCUUUCAUUUUCUUGAAUAAUUCUUCAAUUAUAAAAUAAAAUAUAUUGAAUUAUAAAAUAAAAACUUAAGGCUUAAAAUAUGAUUUAAGUUUCUUGAAUAAUUCAUUUUCACGUAAGUAUUUUAAUCAAAAUAAAAUAUUUAAAUUAAUUAAUUAUAUUAUAAAUAUUAAGUGUUUAAAAAUUAAAGUAGUCAUAGAAAAUUAGGCGAAGAUAUAAAUUCUAAUUAAUAACAAAGAAAAAGAGCCUAUAAUCUUUGAAAGUUAUAAUCCAAUCCUUAAUAUGCCGCCAGACCAAGAAUUUUAUGUUUUAUAGGAAUAAACUGGGAUUUAUUUUCACACUUAUGAUCAUAUUUUCAACAUGCAUUGCUUGGAAAUUUAUGGAAUUCUGGGAAUAUAUGUCCACGGCCAUGGGGUUGUAGUGUAGGUGGUCCAAUCGGGAGAAAUGUUAAAUUAAGGAGAUAUUAAAAAUUUGGUUUUGACUUCUAAUAUGAAAUGAAGUCCAAUACAACGUGAAAGACAGCUACGUCAAGGUAGCAUGUGGCAUUCUAGGAUUGAAUGCCACUGAUGGUACGUGGGGGACGGUCAUUGAGCAAUAGGUGCGCCCCAAAGUUUAGGCAAGCUACUCCCUGAAUCACAUGAAAAGGGAAUAUAGGAUUGAUACGAUGAAAUAAUCAUCUUUUGAAAAUAAAAUAUAAAUUAUUUUACAGAAUUUUAUCUAUUGAAUAGGUCUUAUUUAACUAACCUGUCAUCAUUUGUAAUUUAUUAAUAAUGCACAUUUUAACGAAUAACAAUCAUGUAUGCAUGCUUUAAUAUUUCUACUGCCGACACUAUUUUAAUAGUUUAAAGGGAAUAGUUUAUUUCUGUUUGUUUCAUAUUACAUUUUAGUCAUUUAUAUUUGAAAUGUUAUGUUUUAGUCAUUUACGUAAUUGUUUUGUUACGAAGUGAUCACUCUACCGUUAAACUCCGUUACCAACCUAACGGCAGUCUUAUGUGAUAGUUGAAAUGGGUUUUAAAUGUCAACUUAGAUGUCUAGUUACUGGGAUAAAAAUAUGUUUUUAAUUAAAUAAAUUAAAUUUGGAUUGCCAUGUAAGACAUCCAAGUUGGCAUUUAAAACCUAUUUAGACUGCCACGUAAGAUUACCGUUAGGGAGGUAAUGGAGCUUAACGAUAGAGUGACCACUUCAUGACAAAACGAUAACGUAAGUGACUAAAACUUAACAUUUCAAAUAUAAGUGACUAAAAUGUAAUCUGAGGCAAACAUAAGUGACUAUUUUUGUAGUUUACCCUAGCUUAUAUAUAUAUAUAGCCUUAGUGAUUUUCUCUGCUUCAUAUAAUUUUUUAUUUUUUAUUUAAAAUUUUAAUCCAAUCAUUAACAUUAUAAAUAUUUUUAUUUAUCAACUAUAUGCUAGGUGGUAUAAAGGUAUGGUUGUAUGUUGGUCACUAACCAUGAAAAAUGUAACCCUAUAUCCCAAUCAAUCAAUUAAACCCUGUAAUUAUAUUAGUUGAACCACCCCUAUACUUUUGAUUAAGUUACUUUCUAGCAAGUUGGUUAUAUGCUUUUUCUUUUCUUUAACUUUGAAGUGAAAGUUGAAAGUGACAUCAAAAUCAGGUUAUAUGCUAUUUGUAGAAAGUUAAAUGUUAAUAAAAUUUUCUCAGGACACAGAUGUAGUGUGGCUAAGGAAUCCGUUGACAAAGUUAAGCCUGAAUGAAACCGAUGAUCUCCAGAUUAGUGUUGAUAAAUACUUUGGCAGCCGACGACCCGAGCAUAAUUUGAUCAACACCGGCUUCUAUUACAUCAGAUCGAACAACAAGACCAUCUCUUUGUUCGACAAAUGGUAUUCACUCAAGGACAAUUCCACCAGGAAAAAAGAGCAAGACGUGUUGUUAGACCUACUAAGACAUGGGGUCGUCACCGAAUUGGAUCUUCGAGUAAGGUUCUUGGAGACGAGACAUUUCAGUGGCUUUUGUGAAGACAGUAAAGAUGUUGGUGCUGUAACGACGGUCCAUGCCAAUUGUUGCCGCCACAUAAAUGCAAAGGUUAGGGAUUUGACGGCCGUCCUCCGUGAUUGGAAGAGGUUCAAGGCGGCUCUGACUAAGUAUCCCAAGGCUGCUCGUAAUAUAACUAGGAGUUUUGGGUGGUCACGACACGAUGGAUGCUUGAAUUCAUGGAAACCUCAAACAUUAACUUAAAACAUAUAGUUUUUAUUGAUUUAUUUUUUUCUAAUAAAAAAAAUCAAUUGGAUUUGAUACAUCCAGUUUCAAUGUGUUGUCAAGGCAUAAGAAAUUAGCGGUUGAUUGUUUUUAGAAUCUUAAAUAAACAGUUUUUGUGUGGUUCCAUGUAAUCAAAUCUUAGUUAUUUUGAUACGAAAAUAAAAAUAAAUUUCAUAUUUAGACAUUUAUCAGCUUGAAUAUUUUUAAAUAUCGAAAAAGAUUGUAUGAAAAAGAGAUGCCACAUCAUUCUUUAUCUCUUACCAAUGAUUUAAUGUUAUUUUAACAUCUUUUUCCAUAUAAUUGACACAUCAUUUUGAUAAUUUUUUAAAUCUAGACCUUGAACCUUGGAUAAUAAACCCUAAACCUUGAACCAUAGAUCUUGAACCCUAAAUCAUGGACCUUAGACCAUAAAUCCUAAACCUGAAACCCUAAACACUAGACCUUGGAUAAUGGACCUUGAACUUAAACCUUAAACCUUGGACCAUGAACCCUACCUUAAACCUUAAACUUGAACUUAGACCCUGAAUCUUAGAUUUUAAACCCUAAACUCUAGCCCCCCAAACCUUGAACCUUGGUCUAGGGUCUAGUGUCCAAGGUUUAGGGUCCAUGGUCUAAGGUACAGGGUUUCAAGGUAUAAGAUCUAGGGUCCAGGUAUCAAAAUGAUGUGUCAAUUGAAUAAAAAAAUACAGAAAUAACAUUAAAGAAUUAAUAAGAGAUACAAAUGAUAUGACAUUUUUAUUUCAUAUAAUCCUUUCCAUUUUAAAAAUAUAUAAAAUUAUACCUUCAUAAUAAAUUUUGCUCUUUCACCUCAUUAAAAUUUAUUGACAGAUGACAUCAUUCACUGUUAUAAAUUUAUGGUAUAAAGUCCUUGUGUUUACUUUUCUUUUCCUCUCAUUUUAGCACUUUUAUUUAUCACAUUCCCUUUAAAUUUUAGAUAAAUUAUUUUCUUUUAGAUAAAAAAUUGAUCGAAAUAUUAAAUUUUAAUGACAUUAACGAGAUAACUUACAUGGCAAUCUAUGUAUACUUUAUCAUGGAUAAUUUUUCUAAAAUUUUAUGAACAUUUUUAAAAUUUAUUCAAUUUUAAAAUAUUAUUAUUUUAUUUAAAUUUUUAUGAAUUAUAUGUGGAGUGUCACAAGUAGCCAUGUCAGUGCAGUUAAAAUUUUAAUAUUUUACUCAAUUUUUCGUCUAAAAGAAAGCAAUUUGACUAAAGUUUGAAGGUUAAGGGCCAAAAUAAUCUAAAAAAAAAUAUGAGGGCCAAAGUGGCAAAAUAAGUAAACACUGGGGAGUAAAUUAAUCAUCACACCUUAAUUUAUAUACAAAGAAUGCAUUAUUUUUAAAGUUAUAAAUAUAAUUCGCUAUUACCAACGAAAUUGAUAAUAUAAAUUAUUAUUCUUUUCAACUCAAUAGAUCCAUUUAUUGAUUGAAUUCUUCCUUUUAAAUCUAUUUUAACAAAAUUGAUAUGAUACAUGAAGCAGGGUUUAGAAAAUUUUUCAUGUGAUAAUUGAAUUAUAGAUGUUUAAGGAGUUAAGUUAAAAUUAUACUAUUAUAUUAAAUUAUAUACAAUUUUUAAAGGGAUCAAAUCUUAAUUUUACCAAUAAUUAGUACAAAGUACAAUUACAUUGAAAUCAAAUUAUAUUUACUUAAUUCCAUAAUAAAUGUGUAAGAAAACUCAUAUGGUUUGUAAUGCCUUAUUGGCUUUUUUUCAUUUUUAACAACUAUAACUAAUUCAUUAAAGAACAUUGAAAUUAUCUCUGUAUCAAUGAUUAAACUCAGGAAUCAAACUAAAAUUUUACUUUUGGUUAGAGCUUCAUCUCAUUGAUUUUGCUUUCGAUUUUAGUAUUACUGUUAACAAAUUAACAACUCAAAUGACCACAACAAAUUAUCUUAAGAAUCAUUAAAUUUUAUACCUAUAAAAAAGCAGCCUGAUGUAAAUAAUAGUUCCAAUGGAAUCUUCUCUACUACCGGGGAUUGGUCGUUUAUCCACGAGCCAAGCCAUUACUUUCUAUUCAUUAUUUGUACUAGUACAUUCAAUAAUAUAAUAUUUUAAUGUUUUUUGGUGAAUUACAGUAACAGGGCAAAAUCCAAACAACAAACGUGACUCAAACUCAAGUCACACCUGAAGUGAUGAACACCUUUGACCAUUAGGACUAAGUAUUAAUUGAAUCGUUUGGUUCGCUGUAUUGGAUUAGAGGUGUAUUGGAAAGAGAGAACAGCAACGGAGUGGCGAUAGCCAUUGAAGUUGUUGGAGGAGAAACAAAAGUGAAGAUGGAGUGGGAAGGGAGGCGAACUCUCCUUAGCAAACUAACGGCAGCUUUACGUAGAUACAUCUUCUGCUUUUGCAGUACGGCGGUUUUCUACCCUCAAUAUUUUUUAUGAUUCUGAAAUAAAAGAACACAAAAGAAACUGAAAUAAAAAUGACCCAAUUAUUUUUUAUGAUUCUCAAGAGCAAAAACAACCUCAAUAGGCAUAAUUAAAUCCAAAUUAAAAUAACAUCUAUGGAAUUCAAUACAACAGAAAUUAAAGGAGAAACAAAAAGAACUUGGAACCUUGAAGAAGGUGCUGGGUAGGAGAAAACUGGAGAAAGCAAAGGAAGAUGUCGACUGGAGAAAGCAAAGCAAAGGAAGAAAGCAAAGGAGAAAGCAAAGCAAAGAAAAGAAAAGAAAAGAAACGGAGGGAGCAAAUCGGGCGAAACAGAAGAGGCAAAGGGGAACAGAAGAGGCAGAGGGUAAAACAGGGAGGGUAAAGUGAAGCAGUACCUAAACUGAGCAAAAGGGACGGAUUAGAAAUCGGUGAAUUUCACCGAUUAGGUCAGUAAUGGUUUAGCCCCGUAAUAGUAAUACAUUGAACCAAACAACGGAUUAAAAGCGUAAUAAGUGGGGCCCACCGAUUAGGGGUGUAUUGGCAUAGCCAAUACACCCAACCAAACAUGCUAAUUAUUUUUAUGAUUACAUUUUAAAAUAAAACAUAAUCAUUUAAUCAUAAAAGUCAUGGGCUUCGCCUAUUGGAGAAGUGAAAGGCGUCCUUUAGCUCUUUUAAGAAACAAAAAUUCACGAGAUGACCACCCAAAUCCAACAUCACCCUUUGUUUCAAACUUGGUUGGUAUCUCUCCACUAAUGCUAUGAAACCCUAAAUUAAGAACUCUCAAGGUCUUUAACCCACCAACACUAACAGGCAAUGACCCAUCUCUACAUCAACUACUUCCAAAUUCCACCACCAAAUCUAUGAAAAGGAAGUCAUAAAAUUCUAACACUUCCUAUACAAACUCCCACUACUUUCCCCACUAUUCCUUUUAGUACCAAAUUCAUAGAAUGAAAAUACACUGUAAUUAGAGCAAGAAGACGAGAGAAAAGCAUUUGUAUUGUCGACAUUACCCUCUCUUUUUUCUUUUCUUCUUCUCCUUUUCCAAACCUAGUUAAGAGAUCCUUUCAAAGGCUACUCUAAAACACUAUAUAUAAAGCUUUCUUUUAAGUUUAUGCUGCAAGAAUUCGAUGAUGAAAAUAUGGGCUUCCCUUCUGGUUUCGUUGUGUGUGUUCUUUUAAUACCCUAACCCUAAUCUUUUGACAUGCUUAUGGAGAGAGAAAACAUGGCAGCAAAUAAAAGUUGUAAAGAAAUAGUUAAUUAAGUAGGGUAAUUGCUAUAACUUGGUGCCAACUUUCAUUUAUACCUUAUUAAUUUCAUCUUUAGUUUAAAAAAGAGAGAGACAUACUUUUGUUGAUCAGAAUUAGAGUCUCGAAAAUUCAAUGAAAUAAUAUUUUUAAAUUUUAUCGUUAAAUCAACAAUUUAAUUAUUUGCAGCAAAAAAUUAAUUAAAUUAUCAGUUAAACAAUUUAUAUGCAAUAAAUUAAUAAAUUAAAAAUUAAAUGUAAUAUUCACAGUAAAAUUGAAAAGAAAAGAAAAAGUAAAACUACUCUUCCUAUUCGUUUACCACAGCACGGCAACAUCAUGCGGUUAGCACACCAAACCCACGCCAAAAACCAAGUUUAAUUCACAUAAACAUAACAGAGAAUAGUAGAUUAUAUUCAUAUACAAGUUAUACCCCAAAACCAAUUAAACUGCCAUCCUCAGCUAUUUCGUGUGACAAUGCUACCUAUAUUAUGAAUUUAACCUACCUCACCUCCUUUCAUUUCAUUAUAACUCCCCUCUCUCUUUCUCUCUCUUAGAACCAUCGUUCAAUGGAACACCCAAAGGACUUAUGUCCAGGAACUUCUGCCAUAGUUUUUCUCCUUCUUACUGGCCUUCUCUACUUAUGUGUAUGGUCUCCUUCAAACCCUUUACUUCCCUUCCAUGAACCCAAUGGUUCACCCAAAAAUUAUGUAAGUAUAUUUUUAUGUAAACUUCUUCUCAUGUAUAUUUAUAUGCGUGUGUGUGCAGACUAUAAUAUCAGUUCUUGGUUCUUUUUUUUUUUGAAGACUGGCGUAGAGUUCCUUGUGAAAGAUGAGCUUGAUUUGGCGUUGGAGGAAGCUUCGAUGCCGAACAAGACCGUCAUAAUCGCGGUUGUAAAUAGGGCUUACGUUGAGCAAAGCGUUAAUGCGGAGACCACAAUGCUGGACCUUUUCUUGGAGAGCUUUUGGGUGGGGGAAGAUACGAGGGCAUUGCUGGAGCACUUGCUUCUGGUUACGGUGGAUCAGACGGCUUACGAUCGGUGCAUGUUCAAGCGGUUGCACUGUUACAGGUUGGUGACGGAGGGUGUGGAUUUCGG